Gigantopelta aegis is the source of this 1269-nucleotide long non-coding RNA. RefSeq lists it as uncharacterized. The transcript is spliced from 2 exons. NCBI's taxonomy places the organism in Eukaryota, Metazoa, Mollusca, Gastropoda, Neomphalida, Peltospiridae. The record is from RefSeq and is a predicted model, not a curated record.
CUAGCUGUCUCUGGUCCCGAGGACAACAGGAAUUCUAUCACCAUUGCUCUUGCCGUGGUUGCAGCCAUUCUCUUUAUACUGCUCAUUAUAGGAGCUGUGUGGCACUUUAGAAGUCGGAAUUCUCAACGCAACAACGUCGCACGUCAAUUUAUUUCUUCUACGUCACAUAAUCGAACGGAAGCCGAGCCGGGUGGCUAUGUUAAUGCAGGUCAAACCAAUGAAUAUGAACAACUCGAUGUAUUAAACUCGCCACAGCAUGAUUAUGAUAAAAUAACAGGCGUUUAGAUACAUAUAUAUGACAUACGUUUUCGUUUUGUCCUGUUUUGUUUUGGGGUUGUUGUUGUUUUGUUAUUGUUGUUGUUGUUGUUGCCAAGGAUCGGCCAAAUUGAUGAGAUUAUUCUUUGGCGAGCUCUAGACAACACAAUAUUACUAUAAAAUAUUCAGAGGCUUAUUAGAUAUCAUAUGGUAACGCCAGAUCAAUCAUAUAAGAAAUAUAUGAUUGUGUCCAUUUUUGCCCACAAAAUGGCCAAAAUGGCAAUUUUGUCUUACGAAGGGUCAACAAGACUGCUUAUUUGUGGAAUCAGCACCACUGUGUACAUAAAGUAGGCUUGUCAAACUUUCUUUACUUAAAAUUCUGAUUAAAGUCACAUACUUCUUAGUCUAUAUUUGUGUCCAUACAAUAUAAGUGUCUGUAUAUUAAAUAUGUUACUGAUCGUCCCAGUGUUUGUAUUAGAGUCAAACUUCAUUUUAUGUCCUAAUGAAUUUUGCUUUCCUAAAACGAAAUUAUUUCAGUCAAACUCCUCUAAAUCGGAAACCCUAACCAAGUAAACAGUCUGGUUUUAAGAGGUAUCUGGUUUAGAGAGGCUCUCUUCUGCACAUAUAUUUAAAAAGGGACCAUGAAAUACGUCCAGUUUUGAUGGAAUUCCGGUUUACAGAGGGUCCGGUUUUGUGAGGUUUCACUGUAGUUGAAAACAUCUUACAAUGUCUUGACACCCAAUAGCCGAUGCAGGUUUCGUGCUGAGGUGUUGUUAAACAUUCAUUCAUGCGUUCAUUCCUUACAAUGUCAUUAAACACAGGACAGUCUAUUUAAUACUUAAUCGCGCCUUAGCUCUUUUAUCACAUAUAAACAAGAUAGGGCUUGAGAACAGCCGAGCUACUAAUAUAAUAUCAUUACUGUAAAUACGUGUUCAUGUACCAUUACGUUCCUGGGAGUGACCUACAUGACAGUUGUAAAGAUGGGUUAGGUAGAAUAAAAUGUGUUUUGAAUCA